GACCUGCCAGUGUCAGGCACUGGGCAAGUGCUGGUCUUGGACACAAGGUCCAGCGGUGCUGUUCUCUCUCCUGGAGACCAUCCUGCUCCAGCAGCCCCGUGGGCACCGUUCCUCUAUGGAGAUAAACCCCUUGUCUUGGGGUCUGCAGCCCUCAAAGCCCUCCAGGCAAGGAGAUGUCUCCAGCCCCGAAGCUGUUGCCGGAGCCAGCGCCCGGCUCCCUCUCCCAUCCCCAGGCGGCACCAAAAUCUAAUGAAAGGAGGUGAACAAGCUUUCAAGACCUCAGAAGUUGUGCCGAAGGUUUUCGAUGGGAGGCUGCUGCACCGCUGCAGGGCAGGAUGAAGAUGAGCAUGGGGACCAGCCUUUGCCACCCUGUUGGCAUUUCCACACUCUGGCCUCACUUGUGUGAUUCCUGUCUCUUAAUUUCUGGGUCUCACGAGAGCAAUGCGUUGCAGGGGUAUUUGUAUCCUCACACCAGGAUGUGCUGGGUGCUCUC
Molecule: long non-coding RNA, 493 nt
Organism: Neopsephotus bourkii (Bourke's parrot)
Lineage: Eukaryota; Metazoa; Chordata; Aves; Psittaciformes; Psittacidae
Exons: 3
Source: RefSeq, a predicted model, not a curated record